CCACUAAGAACUUGUUAUCCUACCAUAAAACAUAUAUUCAUAGCAAUAACAGAAAUUUGGCAAUUUAAUGAUAGAAAACCACCUUUUGAUCUGUUGAAUCAUCAUAGAAAACCAUCAUAUUGGCCAUCCUUUGUCUUUAAACCAUCAUAUUGAUAUGAUCUUGCAUCCUACAAUUGCAACCAAUCAAACAAACUAUUCUUUUAAAUUACCUUAGAUAAUAAAGAGACUAAUGAGUCUCGUGGGAAAGAUUUUCAGGAUAUUCGUUUUGGAGCAUGCACAAAAUCGACGGGUUACGGAUGCAACGUCGUUAAACAAUUCCAGGACAAUUAAAUUGCUGAUUCAAUCGAACAUAUGGUAUGAACAUGUUCGUUUCACGGGGUGUUUCGGUGUCUUGCCUUGAAUCAAGGCGUGUAAAAACGUUAUGUGUGAUCCUUAUACACCAGCUGGUGUUCCAAUUCCAACCAACAAGAGGCACAACGCUGCUAAAAUUUUCAGACACCCAUCAUUGCCUCCGAGGAGCCUUGGUAUGCUCAUCUUCUUCUUUUUUGGCUAUACAUAUUAUUUUCGUUACUAUAAAUUCUAAUAGUGUUUGUUUUUUUAAACGAUUGUAUGUUUUGGAUGAAUGAAAGCAACCACGAUGCAUGAAGAAGAUUCAAUUCGAAAGAUUCAUAUAAAUUGGACUAUUGCUACAAAAAAAAACAGAAUCACAGGUUCAAUUCUAUCAAAGGAGAUAAAGCCUCUUAUCUCUACUGUCUUUGAGGGUAAAGAUGCUAAUGUCAUCGCCCACGGAGCAAGAAAUUGCGGAAAAACACAUCUCAUACAUGUAUUGAAAGCAAUCCCAUUAAGGGAAAUGAUAGGGAGCUUGGUUUAACCGUUCUUACAAUGUCUGAGAUGCUAUCCAUGGCUGUAUCAGUUUCUGUAUCAGUUUACGAGGUUUCUCAGGAAACCGUGUAUAACCUUUUAGACCAAGAGAAGCGAGUGGUUGCUGUACUGGAAGGUGCACAAGGGAAAAUUCAACUAAAGGGACUUCCUCAGGCAAGUCAUUUAUUGUUCUUGAUCAUUAAGUCUUGGAACGUCAUAUGUAUUUUGCAGAUUAGCAUCAUUAAUAUUUCAAUGUUUCUGCUUUCAGGUACCUAUGAAGUCACUCUCAGAAUUCCAUAAAGGUGUGAUGAUACAUGUUACCACUGGCAACGCCAAUCCAGGCUCCCUUGGGAGGAUGAACUUUCUUGAUAUGGCAGGAUAUAAGGAUUCUGAUAGAAGCAGUUAAAAGACUAAUUACUAUUUACUAAGGUUUCAAUUUAACCAAGGUUUAUUAUGAGGGUAAACCAUAGUUGGUUUAGCUUUUCUUGUUUGGUCUAUGUCUAUAUAUAUAUAAUGUCUGAGAGAGUUGUGAGGGUCUUUUAUCGAGUAAUUGGAGAAAUCUUAGGGGGAGUGGGAGGAGCUCCAUUGUCAAAUUCCUCGAGUCCUUGUAAUUCUCGUCUUGAUAAUCUAUGAAAUACCUUUUUCUAUAAACUACUCGUAUCAGAUUCCAGGAAACAAAACAGUGCUCUAGCUCCUCUAGAGAUUGCCAGAGUUAAUACUUUGAUAUAUGCUUUACAGAAUGUCAUGUAUGCUCUCAACGGAAAUGAAUCCCAUGUGCCAUAUCGGGAGAGCAAACUCACUCGAAUGCUGAAAGAUUGUUUAAAAGGAUGCAACAGACGUUGCUGAUCACAUGCUUGAUAUACUUUUCUUGCUGUUGAGUUCGUUUUAAGUUUAUGAUUCACUGAAUGUAACUGCAGGCGAUGCUAACCCUUUUGUUUUUUUUUUAGCCUCGGGAAUAUAGCCCAAACUCCUUUUACAUGUUAAACUUAGCAUCACAGAUCUGUCUAGGUAGUAACCGAGCCAUGACUAAUCCUACUAAGAAGAAGAUCAACGGUCUUGAAAGAUCUAUUUCAUUAUGCUCUGCUGCUCAAAGGAAACAGACACCUUUGACUGUGUCUGCUACUUCUAGAAAACAGACAGUGCUAAGGGAAAAUGUGACAGAGAGAAAAGACUAAAAUCAACACUGCUGCUUCUGCAAUUAAAGCAAGGAAACUGUUCCGGGAAGCAAACGAUUCGGUGAAAUGUAAAAAUAGCAUGUUGGAAAAUUUAAUUAAUACGUCAUGAAGUUGAACAAUCUAGAUUCUUCCUUUACAAAGAGGUAAAACAGAGGGUAUAGAAACAGAGACUAAGAGACCAAGAGUCUUAAUUAAGGAGGUUUGGUAUACCACUUAACCCUAAUCAAUCCACUACUUACUUGAUAAAGACAUAUUCUCAUCAUGUAUAUUUGAUUAGAUUAGCUAGGCUCGUAAUAUGGGACAAAACCCCGAAGAUGAGCAAGAAAUGCUUUGAAAGAUUUUAUCGUAGCAUGAGUGUCAUAUCUACACCCUUCAGUGCUCCCUUGUAAAAUCAGAGUAUCUGAGUAUAGAUACUUAAUAGGUUUAAGUGUUCUUCGAUCUUGGACGAUAUGUUCCAACUUAUACUGAUACAGAGGGUCACGACAUACAUACUAUAAUUGAUAGAGAGUAUUAUCGUCAUCGUGGAUUCAAGUUUUUCCAAGGACGAUGGAUACAUGGCCGGCCCUAUAGACAUCAACAAGAAACUUUUGCUGUAGCCCAAAUUUUGUUUCUGAAAUUCUUCAACAAAAAUUAUUUACGAAACGGCCCUAAUUUUAUUUAUUUUACUA
RNA transcript from Arabidopsis lyrata subsp. lyrata, 2704 nucleotides. It is a transcript of the gene named kinesin-like protein KIN-10C, with no coding region annotated. The transcript is spliced from 9 exons. Lineage: Eukaryota; Viridiplantae; Streptophyta; Magnoliopsida; Brassicales; Brassicaceae. The record is from RefSeq and is a predicted model, not a curated record.